This 370-nucleotide ribosomal RNA is filed under the name uncultured bacterium. RNAcentral's name for it is "bacterial SSU rRNA". It matches the Rfam family "Bacterial small subunit ribosomal RNA", at positions 29 to 376 of the family's 1533-position model. The record is from RNAcentral.
AACGAACGCUGGCGGCGUGCCUAACACAUGCAAGUCGAGCAAGAAAGUCCCUUCGGGGGCGAGUAGAGCGGCGGACGGGUGAGUAAUACGUGGGUAAUCUACCCUCGAGCCUGGAAUAACUCCGCGAAAGCGGGGCUAAUACCGGAUAAGACCACACGACACAUGUCGCGGGGUAGAAGGUGGCUUGUAUUCGUACACGCUAUCACUUGAGGAUGAGCCCAUGGCCUAUCAGCUUGUUGGUGAGGUAAGAGCUUACCAAGGCUAUGACGGGUAGCUGGUCUGAGAGGACGACUAGCCACACGUGGGACUGAGACACGGCCCCAGACCUCCGUACGGGAGGCAGCAGGUGGGGAAUAGUUGGGCAAGUGGG